Molecule: long non-coding RNA, 1685 nt
Organism: Mesocricetus auratus (golden hamster)
Lineage: Eukaryota; Metazoa; Chordata; Mammalia; Rodentia; Cricetidae
Exons: 2
Source: RefSeq, a predicted model, not a curated record
GCCUGAGUCUGUUACACAAGGGCCAGCAUUUUCUGCUUCCCAUACGUAACACCAUCUCCAAGGAAACUUGUUUCUUGAACCUGGCUCUUUGCUCCCAAUCCUGGGAAUUAAAAGACAGCCAGAAUCCGGGCAGGGUCUAGCAGAGAAACAGACUGAGUUUUUCCUGUCAUUGCCCAAAAGUAUAGGUCACAAGGCCCCCUUAGUGUUGACCAAAGACCUGACACACAAGAGGGUGCCCAUGGGUAUGACCACCUGCCUGGUCCCAUUAGUGCUCAGGGUGUAACUCUGCUGGCCCCCAACUGACCUGACUGCUUGGGUAUGAGAAUAACUAGGAACUGGGACAAAAAGUCUACGAGUCAGUAAGACAUAGCAGGCCUUAAUCUACCAAAAGCCGGGUAAACAAAGGAGGGAAAUCUGACUACAUCCUUCAGCUAUUGUGGUACAACAGAUGGAGGAUGAAAGGGACAACUGGGCAGUGAACCUGGGGCCAGGGCCAAGACCUGUUCUCAGCCCAAGCUGGACUUCAGCUAUAGCCAUGGCUCCGUGGCUGGUUAAUGAGCCAAUCCUUUUUUAAGGUUGGACCGAGGAUGCCAGGCUGCCCGGAAUGGAUGCUGACGUGACCGUCUCUGCAGCCCGACCCACUGUGCCAGCUCGCCGUGGGCUCAGACUCCGCGACGCUGUGCCUCUCACCGGCGCUGGCAUCUGGCCGGCCUCACGGCAUCCGGUCACUCGGGAUCCUGCUCUGGCACGCCCCGGGCGGCGGGCUCGUCCAGGAAAUAGAGGCUGGCUGGUGUCGGGAGGCAAGCUCACAGACAUCGAUUUUAGAGUCCCUCUGCCGAGGCGCGUACACAGACCAGCCCCGCCACGGGCGCGCAUCUAGCCUCCGACAGGAUGCGCUGGACCGCCGGAAGCGCGUGAGGGCGGGGACAGAAGCCUGCGCCUGCGCAGAGCUCGCUGCUUGGGGGUGGAGCGAGGAGGCGGAGCGAAGAGCCUAAUUUUACCACUCUGGCCGUAACCGACGUUUCCCCGUCCGGGUCUAUCCUAGUGGCCCUACUGCUGUCAAGCCCCACCUCCCUGAACCUGGACUGAAUUUUUGAGUGUCCGGGGCCGGAAGGCCUUGCUGGGACGGGCUGGGUCACAGCGGGUGUGGUUGGUGCUGUGGAAAACAAACAUAAGGCCUUGGAACCUCAGCCCGAACUCUAGUCCUGGAACCUCAACCUUAUGGUGGGGGAGGGGGCAAGGGGUGGAAAUGGAUGUCUGCCCCACCUGGAGGCGCCUGCCCUGGAUCAUCACAGCUGAUACGAGGAAGGAAAGGGAAUCCUGCCUGGGCAGUAGACCUCCCCACCCCCACCCCCGCCCGCCCAGGCCUGGUAUCGCUGCGAAGAGGGCUCACCACUUAAGUUGAGCCAGCUUGUAGGGCAGGACCAAGGCUGCAGGGACCUGGGAAUACCCAUCUAACUGGAUAACAGUUGCCCAGACAGCUGGGGAACCAGCUUAAGAGCCAACAGGGCCCCUGUGCUUGGAGGACUUUUGGGAGGCCUGGGCAGUCUACGGGGCCUCUUGCAGUGGAACUAGUAUUUAUUCCUAGUGCACGAACGGACUUUGGAAACCCACUCCCCUAUGGAGGAAUAAUCUCUCAUCCUAAAUACACGGGGGGAGGGCCUAGGCCCUGCCUCCAAAUGAUG